GAUCUCGUACGUGACCUGCGGAGGGUCAUUACACAAAUAUGAAGGCGGGCUGGAACCUCUCGGGGUUACAGCCUUGCUGAAUUAUUCACCCUUGUCUUUUGCGUACUUCUUGUUUCCUUGGUGGGUUCGCCCACCACUAGGACAAACAUAAACCUUUUGUAAUUGCAAUCAGCGUCAGUAACAAAUUAAUAAUUACAACUUUCAACAACGGAUCUCUUGGUUCUGGCAUCGAUGAAGAACGCAGCGAAAUGCGAUAAGUAGUGUGAAUUGCAGAAUUCAGUGAAUCAUCGAAUCUUUGAACGCACAUUGCGCCCUUUGGUAUUCCAAAGGGCAUGCCUGUUCGAGCGUCAUUUGUACCCUCAAGCUUUGCUUGGUGUUGGGCGUCUUGUCUCUAGCUUUGCUGGAGACUCGCCUUAAAGUAAUUGGCAGCCGGCCUACUGGUUUCGGAGCGCAGCACAAGUCGCACUCUCUAUCAGCAAAGGUCUAGCAUCCACUAAGCCUUUUUUUCAACUUUUGACCUCGGAUCAGGUAGGGAUACCCGCUGAACUUAA
Molecule: ribosomal RNA, 551 nt
Filed under: Alternaria alternata
Lineage: Eukaryota; Fungi; Ascomycota; Dothideomycetes; Pleosporales; Pleosporaceae
Description: eukaryotic LSU rRNA
Rfam family: 5.8S ribosomal RNA (bases 197-350)
Source: RNAcentral